CCUACGGGUGGCAGCAGUAGGGAAUAUUGCUCAAUGGGGGAAACCCUGAAGCAGCAACGCCGCGUGGAGGAUGAAGGUUUUCGGAUCGUAAACCUCUUUUGUUAGAGAAGAUAAUGACGGUAUCUAAUGAAUAAGCACUGGCCAACUCCUUGCCAGCAGCCGCGGUAAUACGGAGGGUGCAAGCGUUACUCGGAAUCACUGGGCGUAAAGAGCGCGUAGGCGGGAUAGCAAGUCAGAUGUGAAAUCCUAUGGCUUAACCAUAGAACUGCAUUUGAAACUGGUAUUCUAGAGUAUGGGAGAGGUAGGUGGAAUUCUUGGUGUAGGGGUAAAAUCCGUAGAGAUCAAGAGGAAUACUCAUUGCGAAGGCGACCUGCUAGAACAUAACUGACGCUGAUGCGCGAAAGCGUGGGGAGCAAACAGGAUUAGAUACCCUAGUAGUC
RNAcentral lists this ribosomal RNA (440 nucleotides) under uncultured bacterium. RNAcentral's name for it is "partial 16S ribosomal RNA". It matches the Rfam family "Bacterial small subunit ribosomal RNA", at positions 338 to 795 of the family's 1533-position model. The record is from RNAcentral.